RNAcentral lists this ribosomal RNA (985 nucleotides) under uncultured Verrucomicrobiota bacterium. RNAcentral describes it as "bacterial SSU rRNA". It matches the Rfam family "Bacterial small subunit ribosomal RNA", at positions 364 to 1336 of the family's 1533-position model. The record is from RNAcentral. Lineage: Bacteria; Pseudomonadati; Verrucomicrobiota.
UUUCUCAAUGGGGGAAACCCUGAAGGAGCGACGCCGCGUGAAGGAUGAAGGUCUUCGGAUUGUAAACUUCUGUCAUUGGUGAACAAGGCCCACGCAGUAACUGGUGUUGGGAUUGAUAGUAGCCGAAGAGGAAGAGGCGGCUAACUCUGUGCCAGCAGCCGCGUGUAAUACAGAGGCCUCGAGCGUUGUUCGGAUUCAUUGGGCGUAAAGGGUGCGUAGGUGGCGAGGCAAGUCUGGUGUGAAAUCCUAGGGCUCAACCCUGGAACUGCACUGGAUACUACUUUGCUAGAGUACUGGAGAGGAGAUUGGAAUUUACGGUGUAGCAGUGAAAUGCGUAGAUAUCGUAAGGAAGACCAGUGGCGAAGGCGAAUCUCUGGACAGUUACUGACACUGAGGCAUGAAGGCCAGGGGAGCAAACGGGAUUAGAUACCCCGGUAGUCCUGGCAGUAAACGGUGCGCGUUUGGUGUGGGAGGAAUCGACCCCUUCCGUGCCGGAGCUAACGCGUUAAACGCGCCGCCUGGGGAGUACGGUCGCAAGAUUAAAACUCAAAGAAAUUGACGGGGGCCCGCACAAGCGGUGGAGUAUGUGGCUUAAUUCGAUGCAACGCGAAGAACCUUACCUAGGCUUGACAUGCAUCUCUAAGGCGGUGAAAGCCGUUGAGUACCGCAAGGUACAAUUUGCACAGGUGCUGCAUGGCUGUCGUCAGCUCGUGUCGUGAGAUGUUGGGUUAAGUCCCGCAACGAGCGCAACCCCUGUGAUCUGUUGCUAACCGGCUUGUCCGGAGCACUCUGGUCAGACUGCCCUGUGAAACGGGGAGGAAGGUGGGGAUGACGUCAAGUCAGCAUGGCCCUUACGCCUAGGGCUGCACACGUACUACAAUGCUCAGUACAGAAUGAACCGAAACCGCGAGGUGGAGGAAAUCCCUAAAACUGAGCCCAAUUCGGAUCGCAGGCUGCAACUCGCCUGCGUGAAGCCGGAAUCGCU